Molecule: RNA transcript, 4917 nt
Organism: Oncorhynchus kisutch (coho salmon)
Lineage: Eukaryota; Metazoa; Chordata; Actinopteri; Salmoniformes; Salmonidae
Exons: 7
Source: RefSeq, a predicted model, not a curated record
UUGUGUGGAGAUUAAGAGAGAGAGACUAAUAAGAAAGAACUUGUUAUGGGGCAGGUCAGGCGUCAUUCAUGGAGUCAUUUGUAGGGUCAAGUCCCCAGCCAAUCUAUUUGAACCGCUCAUUAUUUGUGGCCAUGUAUUAACUACUAAGUGAGUCUUUGACAUGAAGACAGUGGUUAGAUUCUGCCAUGGGGACCUGCUCUGAUGUUGUUUCCAUUCUCUCCUGGUUAUGACCAUAGAGCCUUGUCCCAGUCUCUAGACCUGCCUGUCUGUGUGAUGGAUGACCACCUGACCUCUGAAGCUGUCAAUGAGAUGGAGCAGAGCAAUUCUACCAGGAGCAGAGCAACCUCAGUGAUGGAAACCACAGAAGAGGGGAAGCUCAACAAUGUGGAACAUCUGACACUUAUGGACUUCCUUCAAAACCUAACUGAGAAGCAAUGGAGGGGGAUUCGUGAGGGCAUGUUUGACCCGCUGACAAAACAACAGCUUGCCGGCUUGUGUCUGAGGAUUGUCCAGUUUUUAUCGGACAAGCUGAUGCAGAUCAUCAUCCCAGGUCUUUACGAACUACUGGGCAUCCAAGAUGCUGCCUCCUCUCCAUUGUCACAGAGAUCUCUCACAGCGUCACUCACCAGUCUGUUAGACGAUAAGACUAACACCAAGUCCCGCGUGAGAUUUACUGAGGCUGGUGUACCUAAGAGGCCAGGCAGUCGAAAGUCGUACAAUAGCUUUCGCAUCCCGACUCCCUACCCUUCCUCCAACUGUAUGGAUCAGGAAGAGGAAGAAGAGCAGGAAUCACAACUUAAGUCCAAGGAGAUUUACCUGACUAAGGGCAGUGGAAGCUACCUGCCCAAGGGGGCCAUGAGGAUUCUAACCUCUCUGUCUGAUGUGCAGAAAAAAACAACCAACUCUGAGACGCUACAAGUCCUCUUAGGUGUCUCAGAGGACACCCUCGUCACCUGUGUGCAGGACAGCCUGCAAGGUUCUCUCUCCAAACUUGCAUGCAUGUCCAAUUCUCCAUCUGGAAGUGCAGGCUCUAUGAUGCUAACCCCUGCUGUAAUGGCAGAGUUGGCUAAAGAUGUCAAGUCGGCCUUAUCAGUGGUCGUUAAGAGUGCCUCCGCAAGCCAAACCUCUCUAGUGACACCGGUAAGGGGAGACUCACAGACCAAGGUAACUGAGAGCAUGGUGAGAGAGCUGGCUGCUAAACUUGAAAAAGUUGACCAAGAGAGCAAGAGUCUAACAGGGCAAGUCAUGACCACGAUCUCUGACACAAUGGUGGCUUUUGUUGACGAGAACGAACAGAAUUUGCUGGAAGAUCUGAAGGACAAGAUCACGUUUUUGGCAUCGCAUGUUGGCUUCAUUGACGAUCUUGAUGCCCUGAUAAGGAAAUACGAGAGCAGCUACAAUAUUGGUGAAUCUGGUUCCUCCUGCACGCUCACGUCUAAGAGCAUCCAAAAACUCUCCAGCAGGGAGUUUCAAACAUCAGCAAUACAAGCAGUGAGUGGAGUUCUUGCCAAAAAAGUCAGUAGUUUGAGCUUUCCUAGUUCAGUCGUUCAGUCUGAGUUAACAGGUGCUGUAUCAGGUCAAACAUUGUCUGGCAUUGUAAAGACAGAGUCAAUUCACCCAGUGGGCUCAGCAGCGUCAGUAGUUGUUAAGACUUUCGUGUCAGAUAUGAAGUCCUUGGCUGAAUCUGAAGAGAGUCCCCAACAGAAGAGUGCCUGGUCUGCUGCUGUUCACAUUUACCACAGCAUCCAAAACAACUUGAAAGAUUAUUUCGGCAAGCUUCAGCGAUGUGCCUUAAAGAGCAUUGUCACAUAUGAUGAUAACAUCACAAAUGCUGAGUUUAAGGAGACAGUUCCACUUCCUUGCUUAAACAUGAAAUAUAGGCCCAGUAAGAGUGAGCCUCAGUUGCCAGAGUCCACUGGUGCAGUUACUUUACAAAGAGGCCUAAGUGAGAGAUCAAAACUUCUUUGGGCACACACUGAGUCAGAAGAAAGCAAGCUCCUUCUGACAACUUGCACCAAAGAAGUAAUCUCAGAGCCUCUGGUCUUGUACAACACUGAGAUGUCAAAGGAGGACCCCCUGUACACUGUUGGAGAAAAAGGAUCAGGCUUCUCUAUUGAGAGAGAGAAAUUUGUAGAGGGUGUUCUGGCUCAGCUUGGGGAUAUCUCCCAUUCCAGGUCCUCAUCACCAAUAGUUUGUGAGUUCUCCUGUCAAAAUGAGGACAGCAGAAGUAAGGCCACAGCUUCUUUGACCAGUCUGUUAGAUUGUAUUAGAAAACUCUCAAGUGAGGAAUUCAAGAGAGACACCAAUCAAGCAGUGAGUGAGUUCCUAGUUAAAAAGUCCACCAGUAGCUUAACUAGUGCACAGCCUGCUUAUUCUGUAGCAUCCAGGUCUUGUUCCGUUCAAAACCAGAGAACCUUGUCAAAGCAUAUUUGUGCGGAUUCUGCUGCCUUUGGCAUCAUUGACACAUUUGUGGAAGACCUGCAGAGCUUGGCGCAACCUGCAGAAGUAGAGGAGAGAGAACCUGACCUCCAGGAAAAUGUACAAAAGCGAAAGAGCAGGAUCUGGUCUGCUACCACUAGUUUAUAUAAAAAUAUUAGGAAGAUAUUAAAGGGCUUCACCAUUCACCGGCGGAGGUCAGACGUGCAGAGAAGAAUGUCUAGCCAUACACCCACAGAGGACUCUGGACAUCUUGUGACUAAGGAGUACCUUGGUUUGGCAAGCCAGAACUUGACGCAAGCUAGUAAGAGUGUGCCUCACUUGCCCAGUUUGAACCAGGAAGUGACUCUACACAUGGGUGUCAGCGAGAGUUCAAAACUUCUCUGGAUUGAAACAGACGAGGGUCUAAUGAACAAUAGUACCAAACAGGUCAUUUCAACAAUCUUGACCUCAUGCGAGGAUCAGACAUCAAAUGCACCUUGCUUCUCCACAGUAGGAAAGAAAAUAUCUGAUAUGUCCCUUGAGGUCAACAUGUUGGUAGGUGGUGUUCUGUCUCAGCUGAAGGACAUCUCCUUGUCAAGGUCCCCAACACCAUGUGAAGACAUGUUUGAACGUCUCCAAGGUUCUACUGAGCGAACCUCUCCAGUAAGUCUAGAUUGCUGCACGGCUGCCUCCAAAGGCAUUGCAUCUUCCCACAGUCUUUCAACAAAGAGCCUCCAAAAACUCUCUAGUCAUGAGUUCCAAACCAAAGCUGAGAAAGGAGUGAGUGAGGUCCUCUCUAGAUCAUUUAACAUUGUGGAGGAAGGUACAACAGAUAAGUACCUUCAGUCUGUAUCUACAUCCACCACAUCUACUGAUAUUAUACAAACCAUGGUGAAAGACCAGCAGGAGCUCACCCAGACCACCCAAUCAUCUGACAUGGUAUCUGGAACCUCCCUGCUCACCACUGGAGAGGUUUCUGAGAAAAGGAUCUGGUCUGUUGCUCGUAACAUCUACUACAGUCUGAGUUUCUCAGAAAAGAUCUUCAAAGAUCAGACACAACACUUGGUUCAAUCCAAAUCUUUACACAUCAAAGUAGUCCUGCAUCACAAAGAGCAAGUCUCGGCCAUCUUGAGGUCAACCAGAGCAGUGUUACACCUGGUGGAAACAAUGCCUGUGUGGACAUUCCGCACAAAUUACUACCUAAAACCACUGAGCUCUCAGGAUCCAUGCUGGAGGAUAUUGACACGAUCCGUUGUAGGAGUGCUGACAGCCAAAAUACAAGAAAUACCUCUUCUUCACGCUCCUCCAUCUCUCUAACACCUACUUCAAAAUUAAGGCAGUCGAAAUGGCACUUUGCCUUACCCGGGACUCCCAUCCCCACUGAGUUUCCUGCUCAGAUUGACUUUCCCAUUGUUAGAAACACAAUCAUUGAGGACUUCUUUCACACAGAGGACUUACUUCCUGUAACCUUUGUGGACAAAGUCAGGCAAGCUGCUGGGCUGGUAGUGGACAUUAUGGUGGAAAGUGUUGAGAACACACAGGAAAAUGGACAGGGUGCUUCACAUCUUGACGACCUCCGAUCUGCUGUUAGGAAAUUGAGAAAAAUCAUAUCCACUUGGACCAUCCACAUUUUCAGCCAUGAAUUGGUGGAUAAAGUGAUAGCCCUUCAGGACAGCCACAGCACUCCAAAGGUCUUAACAUUAGAAGCAGCCAAAAGUGCUUCAGACUCCAUUCUUUCAAGGCUGAAAUGGGGAAAGGAACAAUGUGCCAUAUCCAAGGAGCUCUCCUCUCAUCUUCUCCAGAUAUUUGCUGAAGAGACAGUGAAGGGCUUCCUGAGACAGUGGUCAGAUGAUUAUGAAAACAUAAACUUUGAUGUUUCAGUCCAGAAUGAUCCAAAGACUUCUACUUGCAUGGUCAUUCUUCAAAUGAUCACCAAAGCCACUGCUAAAUGUUAUUUUGAGUCCACUACCAGCGUGGCCACCAGUGACAUUGUAGAAGGCGUGUUUGAUUUGGAAAGGGAUACCAUCAGCAGUACUGGAGAGCAGGUCCUCACCUUUAACACAAAGGGUUCCAAGAAAGUUAGUAAGAACCUCUGUCCUCAAGAGUCUCUGGAGUACCAGCCUCAGAACAUUUCCCCUACUGUGUACUUUACAGAGACGAUGACAACAUCUCAUGGCUCCUUUUCUCCAGAGGGAAUUUAUGAUAUCGCAUCGUCCUUCCCACUUGAAGAGAAGAGUCGCAAACCCUCCCUUUUCACCAGAUUGUCUAGAUCCAUCAAGAAAGGCUUUCUCAGCCCAUUCAAAUCUUCAAGGAAAAACAAAUUAUUUAAUUAAAUUCCUCAUUAUAACAACGAGAGCAUUCAUUUGUUCAGAUGAGAAUCUAAUCGUAUUGGUCACACACGCAGAAAACAACUGUGAGAGGCUUUAUUACGAGCACAUUCCCAACAAUGCAGAGUUAAAAAAGUAAGAAAAUAUUUUCUAAAUAGUAACACAAUAACAA